This 405-nucleotide ribosomal RNA is filed under the name uncultured bacterium. RNAcentral describes it as "bacterial SSU rRNA". It matches the Rfam family "Bacterial small subunit ribosomal RNA", at positions 28 to 426 of the family's 1533-position model. The record is from RNAcentral.
GAUGAACGCUGGCGGCGUGCUUAACACAUGCAAGUCGAACGGACUUAAGAUGAAGCCUAGCGAUUCUUAAGUUAGUGGCGGACGGGUGAGUAACGCGUGGGUAACCUGCCUCACACUGGGGGAUAACAGUUAGAAAUGACUGCUAAUACCGCAUAACCCGCUAAGGUCGCAUGACCUAGACGGAAAAGAUUUAUCGGUACGAGAUGGACCCGNGUCUGAUUAGCUAGUUGGUGAGGUAACGGCCCACCAAGGCGACGAUCAGUAGCCGGACUGAGAGGUUGAACGGCCACAUUGGGACUGAGAUACGGCCCAGACUCCUACGGGAGGCAGCAGUGGGGAAUAUUGGGCAAUGGGGGAAACCCUGACCCAGCAACGCCGCGUGAAGGAAGAAGGCCUUCGGGUUGU